RNAcentral lists this long non-coding RNA (1010 nucleotides) under Capra hircus (goat). Its description in RNAcentral is "lncRNA (ENSCHIG00010009401.1)". Lineage: Eukaryota; Metazoa; Chordata; Mammalia; Artiodactyla; Bovidae. The record is from RNAcentral.
AACAGUAAGUGUGGAGCUGGAGGGAAGGUUCUCAAGUAUGGAGGGAGGAAGGGAAAGCUGACCCUGUCAGAAACAAACUUCAGGUCAAAGAGCAACCCCGGUGAGGAGGCCAGACUACCCCCACCCCAGCCCCCAAGGAGCAGAGAAACAAAGACAGGAAAGCAGCUGCUCCCUCCAACUCAGUUUAAAUGUCCUGGUCACGUCCUUCCCCAGCUCAAAGGGGCCUGGGCCACUGGCCCUCCAUCCUUCCCCAGGGCCGAGGCCACAGCCCUCAGCCCCCACCCACCCCCAGCCAGCACCAAGGACAGGAGAAACCAGCAUGGUACACAGCACAUCGGAAAGGGGCUACAUGCAAAGACCGGCUCCUGCCAAGCAAGCCGAGGAGCUUAUCACAGACGGCGCCCAGCGGGAACACCACACCUGCUCCCCUCUCCCUGGGACACGCUGGCUGACAAGCAGCCUGUCUUCAGCAUCGGCCUGAGUGUCUGCCCCAGCGAAAGCUGCCUGGGCUUCCACGCUCAGCACACCCCCACCUCCAACCAAGCCUGCUGUGGCCCCUGGGAGUGGAAGCGGACAAACCAGUUCAUGGGGCAUCCCUGGGGCCUUAUCUCACAGGCCCCACAGCUCCUGCAGGGCGACCUCUCCUCACCCUCAGCAUCCUCGAAGCCCCCAUGUGUAAUGCCAGCCCCAGGCUCAGGCGCCCUCAGAAACAGAGCCAUCCUAACUGCCCCUCAGCCCUUCUCCCCACACCCCCCCACCCCCUGGCCACCUGGUCAGCAGCUUCCCAGCCAAAGGUCCCAAACCCUCACNUCUCCCCCUCUCCUGCUGGUCCAGAGGGAAGCUAACUGGACCGGUGGGAGGAGACGGAAGCACUGUAUUCUGGGAUAUUCAAACAGAAGACGUCCAUUUCCUCUAUUGUCAUCCUGAGCAUCUGGAAGCAAGGGACAGAGUGUGGGAGGGGUCAGGACUGAGACAAGAAGGGCUGGUGGGCUGAGAGCAUCACCCUCCAU